GAUGAAGAACGUAGUGAAAUGCGAUAAUUAAUGUGAAUUGCAGAAUUCAGUGAAUCAUCGAGUCUUUGAACGCACAUUGCGCCCGCCAGUAUUCUGGCGGGCAUGCCUGUUCGAGCGUCAUUUCAACCAUCAAGCCCCCGGCUUGUGUUGGGGACCUGCGGCUGCCGCAGGCCCUGAAAAGCAGUGGCGGGCUCGCUGUCACACCGAGCGUAGUAGCAUACAUCUCGCUCCGGGCGUGCUGCGGGUUCCGGCCGUUAAACCACCUUCAUAACCCAAGGUUGACCUCGGAUCAGGUAGGAAGACCCGCUGAACUUAAGCAUAUCAAUAAGCGGAGGA
Molecule: unclassified non-coding RNA, 336 nt
Filed under: soil metagenome
Description: partial contains 5.8S ribosomal RNA, internal transcribed spacer 2, and large subunit ribosomal RNA
Rfam family: 5.8S ribosomal RNA (bases 1-120)
Source: RNAcentral